RNAcentral lists this ribosomal RNA (497 nucleotides) under uncultured bacterium. Its description in RNAcentral is "partial 16S ribosomal RNA". It matches the Rfam family "Bacterial small subunit ribosomal RNA", at positions 28 to 507 of the family's 1533-position model. The record is from RNAcentral.
GAUGAACGCAGGCGGCGUGCCUAAUACAUGCAAGUCGAGCGAACGGACGAGAAGCUUGCUUCUCUGAUGUUAGCGGCGGACGGGUGAGUAACACGUGGAUAACCUACCUAUAAGACUGGGAUAACUUCGGGAAACCGUAGCUAAUACCGGAUAAUAUUUUGAACCGCAUGGUUCAAAAGUGAAAGACGGUCUUGCUGUCACUUAUAGAUGGAUCCGCGCUGCAUUAGCUAGUUGGUAAGGUAACGGCUUACCAAGGCAACGAUGCAUAGCCGACCUGAGAGGGUGAUCGGCCACACUGGAACUGAGACACGGUCCAGACUCCUACGGGAGGCAGCAGUAGGGAAUCUUCCGCAAUGGGCGAAAGCCUGACGGAGCAACGCCGCGUGAGUGAUGAAGGUCUUCGGAUCGUAAAACUCUGUUAUUAGGGAAGAACAUAUGUGUAAGUAACUGUGCACAUCUUGACGGUACCUAAUCAGAAAGCCACGGCUAACUACGUG